GACGAACGCUGGCGGCGUGCUUAACACAUGCAAGUCGAACGGAAAGGCCCUGCUUUUGUGGGGUGCUCGAGUGGCGAACGGGUGAGUAACACGUGAGUAACCUGCCCUUGACUUUGGGAUAACUUCAGGAAACUGGGGCUAAUACCGGAUAGGAGCUCCUGCUGCAUGGUGGGGGUUGGAAAGUUUCGGCGGUUGGGGAUGGACGCGCGGCUUAUCAGCUUGUUGGUGGGGUAGUGGCUUACCAAGGCUUUGACGGGUAGCCGGCCUGAGAGGGUGGCCGGCGACCAUGGGCCUGAGAGACGGCGCAGAGGCCUACGGGAGGCAGCAGUGGGGAAUAUUGCACAGUGGGCCGACGUGUGAGGCAGAGACGCUCCGGGCGUGAUGAGGGCCUGUGGGUUGUAAACCGCUUUCGCCUAUGACGACGCGUGAAUGACGGUAAUGGGUAAAGAAGCACCGGCUAACUACGUG
This 468-nucleotide ribosomal RNA is filed under the name uncultured bacterium. Its description in RNAcentral is "partial 16S ribosomal RNA". It matches the Rfam family "Bacterial small subunit ribosomal RNA", at positions 28 to 507 of the family's 1533-position model. The record is from RNAcentral.